This 1843-nucleotide long non-coding RNA is filed under the name Equus caballus (horse). Its description in RNAcentral is "lncRNA (ENSECAG00000056340.1)". Lineage: Eukaryota; Metazoa; Chordata; Mammalia; Perissodactyla; Equidae. The record is from RNAcentral.
UAAAAGUAAAUAUUUAAAAACUAGAUAACAUUUAGCAGCAUAAAAUUAAAGUAUCAUCUAUCAGGUACACUGGACCCAAGAAGCCUGCUAUGAGGCAGGACUGAGCAAAGAGUGGUCAUGUAGAAACUGGAGCUGAGAAAUCACUGACUCCUGAGGAGGAGCAGAGGGGAGGACCAAAGGGAGAACACUGCUCUACUUCCUCAUUACCAGCCCAUUUUAAGACAGAUAAUCAUUGGGAAACAGGAAAUGAUGAUAAUAAGACAUUGGAGAACUGAAAAGUUCCUGAGAAAAGAAAGGAAAGAAAGUUGAUUGAGGAUUAAAUGGUAUUUAUCUGACAUGAGGGUUGAAUACUCUUCAUAGGAGUCUUCUGGAAAAAGAAGCACAAGAUGAAAAAAUGCUGCCACAGCAUGGCUUGAUGAGCUGUGUGUAGGUCCAUGCCCAGGAUCCAAACCUGUGAACCCUGGGCUGCCAAAGUGGAGCAUGCGAACUUAACCACUAUGCAACUGGGCCAGCCCUGGCAAGUGUUAAUUUUUAUCAAAGACCUACAGCAUAGUUUCACAUGAAGGAAGUCGUUGCCUCUUGUGAUGGAUUUAAAGAUAUAUCCACAAAUUACUUGAUACUCCUCCUCUCAAGUGGUGGAGCUUAAUUUCCUUCUCCCUGAGUGUGAACUAGACUCCACUUCCAGUGAACAGAACAGGGUAGAAGUGAUGGAGCGUUAUUUCUGACAAGAUCGUGACUUCCAUGCUGGCUGUGCUGUCUCACUCUGUGGAGCCAUACCUUUCUCUGGGGGAAGCCAGCCGACCUGUCAUAGGGCAGCCUGGGGACAGUGAACCUAGUUGACAUGUUGUGAAAACACUCAGCAUAUGAAGUGGUCCAUGUGGUAAGGAACUGAGGUCUGCCAGCCACCAUGAGUGUGUGUGGAAACAGAUUUUCCUGUGUUGAGCCUUGAGAUGACUACAGUCCUGGCUGACAGCUUGACUGCCACCUCCUGAGAGACCGUGAGCCAUAACCACCCAGCCAAGAUGCUCCUGGACAUCUAACCCACAGAAACUGUGAUAUAAUAGAUGUUUGCUGUUUUAAGCUGCAAUGUUUGGGGCAAUUUGUUGCAUAGUGACAAAUAAGCACAUCACCCCAUGUUAAUAUCUUGCCUCUUUUAAAGCAACGAGUCUUGCAAAGGACUCAAAGAAACAACUCUUGCAUUAAGGAAAACAUACCUAGUUCCUCAGCCUGGCUUAUAUCAUUAGAGUCACCAUUCAGGAUGUAGUUUUUGUUGUUAUGUAUGAUAGAUGUUACAAACUCAAGAAUAGAUUAUAUUUUAUUUCUUCUAAUAAACGAGCAGAUGUGGGGCUUCCCAGAUUACUCCAGCACAAAUUUUAUCCAUCAAGAGGAGACUGUGCUGUGCAGAAAAACAUUUUACAGAAGAACUUAAAAUUGAAGGUAAGUAAUAAGGAAGAAGGAGAACCCACAUAACUUCAAAUAUACUCAAGUGCCCAGAGUCAGAUGUAUUGCAUCUUUGAUUAUAGGGAACUUGUAAAUGUGAUCUUAAAGUUAGAAAUUUUUGAGACAAGGAAGUUGCAUGAGAGAUAGGAGCAUAAAGACAAGCUUUUAGAACUCCUACCCCAUCCAAACUGAACAAAAUAACAUAAGAGAAAGGUUAAACAAACAAAAAAAAGAGUCAGAGGAUGAUCAGAGCUGAAACUGUAGGAGAGGUGUUGAUUGUUGGCCAGCCUGUCAGCAUCUUUUCUUGCGGGAACUACUUUAGUUCUUCUCAUCCCAUUAGAGCUUCUAGCCGUAGUUGCCCAAACCCAAGGCCACUGGGGUUGGCGUAUGAUCCAUUCUGGGC